This 377-nucleotide unclassified non-coding RNA is filed under the name uncultured bacterium. Its description in RNAcentral is "contains 16S-23S intergenic spacer region". The record is from RNAcentral.
UCCGGUUUGUCACCGGCAGUCCCAUUAGAGUGCUCAACUGAAUGUAGCAACUAAUGGCAAGGGUUGCGCUCGUUGCGGGACUUAACCCAACAUCUCACGACACGAGCUGACGACAGCCAUGCAGCACCUGUGCUAGAGCUCCGAAGAGGGGCUCCGCUUUCACGGAGCUUUCUCUAGCAUGUCAAGCCCUGGUAAGGUUCUUCGCGUUGCAUCGAAUUAAGCCAUAUGCUCCACCGCUUGUGCGGUCCCCCGCCAAUUCCUUUGAGUUUCAACCUUGCGGCCGUAGUCCCCAGGCGGCGGACUUAAGGCGUUAGCUGCGGCGCCGAGGGGGUCGAUACCCCCGACACCUAGUCCGCAUCGUUUACGGCGUGGACUAC